GGUACGGCGGACGCUGUUCUUGCCGUCGCUCCAUUGAGCUUCGUCUCAUCCUUUCGCCUCGAACCCUGAACAAUUGGAACAGAAAUACAAAUCAAACGAUGAUAAAGCUGCGAUUCUGCUCAAUCUCUCCCUCUUGCCCCAACUCCCAUCUGCCGGGGUUUAGGGCACCGUGGUGCGGUGUACGAAUCAGAGACAAAGAUCUGUGGGUGCUGAGGUUAAGGUAUCAACAGCAAGAAAAGGCGGUACUGUGGAAGGCUAACAGGGACUGACUCGAUUUCCUUGGCAGCAGCGGGGGUCAUCUGCGAUGGACGAGGUAAACAACCAGACCAAUGGCAUAAAGGUUGAACGACAAGCUGUCGGAGAUCGACGAGGAGUUGCAUAGCCCACAACCGACCGUGAAUAAGAGGGAGACGAUCCAUCGGCUCGCCGCAUCCAGUUUCUCAUAUCUGCUCUUCACGCCCUAGGAUCAUCAAAGACAGCCUAAGAAGACAGGAGCUAAGAUCGUGUGAAAGAUGAGAAAGCUACCGACCUGUCCUCUGCUUCUGUUGAUGAUGAUGCUGUCAGCAAUGUUGUUCUUGCAAAGCCGGAAGAGUGUACCAAGAAACUAUGUCUAAGAUGCCGGAUGAACCAAUUCAGUUUGAAAGGAUUGGUAAAUUCUGGUUUAUAUCACCCGAUGAAGCUUCUUCACUGUCACAAGCACGAGGAACUAAAUGCCUAUAGCAUCUACACCGGUCUUCACAUGUUUCCCAGACCGGGGAUGAGUAGGAAGGUGGUUCAUAUCAUAAUGAAGUUGCCACGAUGGGGGUGCCUUUUGAUAGUCGAUGCUCCAGUCCAGAAGACCAAAGAUUUAGUAAAACUUACCUGCGGAAGGUUAAACAAUUACAAAGUUGCAUAGUUUUCAUGUCCUCACCGGAAAUAAAUAAAGCACGAGACAUGCAAUGGUUUUUCCUUUUAGUUGCUUAUGUAUUCCUGCCUUUUCUCAUGGAGCUAGAGUGGUAUCUUGGUGAAACCUGUCUAACUUUAGAAAGCCAUCGUCUUAUCCUCAGAGCUGGAGAGGCAUCAAGGUGAAGUAACCAAUCUAUGCAAGCCAUUACAGAGUAUAUUCAUGUAUUGUUCUCCAUAACUCUUGCAUGUAUUUGUGCUUGUACCAUAUUAUAUCGUUUGUAUACUUGCUUAACUCAAUUUCUGGAUACGGUGUUCUCGGCAGUUGUAGUAGUUGAUCUACUGAUUUAUUUCACUAAGAUGGAUAACAGGUUGCAAUUAUAAAUCCCGUCUUAUUCUCAGAGCUGCAGAGGCAUGUAGGUGAAGUAAUCUAACUGAUAGCUAGCCAGUAUAGAGUAGAUCCAUGUUUUCUGCUCCAUAUUGAAUAUUUAUGAAUUACAUUGUUCAUCAAAGCACCUCCUUCUAUUCACAUGAUCUGCACGUUUUUAUGCUUGUUAGUAUUUUUUUUUAUUUGCUUGUUAACUCAGUUUCUCAGAUUUUGGUGUUCUCAACAUCCAUAGUAGCUGAUUUAGCACUGGUUAUAUUGAUUUAUCUCAUUUAGAUGGACAUGACAAGUUAGGAAUUCCUUUUCUUGAUUGGGCAAAUAAUCAGAGGAAGUUAGCUGAUGUUAUUGAUCGUAACAGAUGAGAAAGUUGAGAUGUCAUUGAGCGUCUCUCUUUUAUACCUCAGCUUUUGCAGGCUUUUUGCAACGUGUUCUUGAUUGUGCUUCUGGUAGAAAUUUCCCAUAUUCUUUAUAUAUGUUCAUGGAUGUAUUCUUAGAGAGAUUUUGCUGGAAUCUUGUCACCAAGAUUAAGGCUAUCCUCCGUUAUUCUGCAGUGUUAAGAGAAUCGAUAAAUAUAAAACAUGCAGUGUUUAAGGACCUUUAACAUGCACAAAACAUAGUGUUAAUAGACAUUUAUGAAACCAUUGAGCUUGAUCUAAAUUUAUUUCAAUAUAUCAUAAAAGUUGAACGUCAUGAUGCUCUUUGGGUCUUUGAUUUACAUAAACAUGUUCUACGGUUAAAAAGAUAUGUACAAAUUGGAAACAAAGUUGACGUGUUAUUGAUUUCGU
Molecule: long non-coding RNA, 2052 nt
Organism: Musa acuminata AAA Group (dessert banana)
Lineage: Eukaryota; Viridiplantae; Streptophyta; Magnoliopsida; Zingiberales; Musaceae
Exons: 4
Source: RefSeq, a predicted model, not a curated record